AAACCAACAGGGAUUGCCUCAGUAGCGGCGAGUGAAGCGGCAAAAGCUCAAAUUUGAAAUCUGGCGUCUUUGGCGUCCGAGUUGUAAUUUGAAGAAGGUAUCUUUGGGCCCGGCUCUUGUCUAUGUUCCUUGGAACAGGACGUCACAGAGGGUGAGAAUCCCGUGCGAUGAGAUGACCCGGGUCUGUGUAAAGUUCCUUCGACGAGUCGAGUUGUUUGGGAAUGCAGCUCUAAGUGGGUGGUAAAUUCCAUCUAAAGCUAAAUAUUGGCGAGAGACCGAUAGCGAACAAGUACAGUGAUGGAAAGAUGAAAAGAACUUUGAAAAGAGAGUGAAAAAGUACGUGAAAUUGUUGAAAGGGAAGGGCUUGAGAUCAGACUUGGUAUUUUGCAUGCUGCUCUCUCGGGGGCGGCCGCUGCGGUUUACCGGGCCAGCAUCGGUUUGGAGCGGCAGGAUAAUGGCGGAGGAAUGUGGCACGGCUUCUGCUGUGUGUUAUAGCCUCUGACGAUACUGCCAGCCUAGACCGAGGACUGCGGUUUUUACCUAGGAUGUUGGCAUAAUGAUCUUAAGUCGCCCGUCUU
RNAcentral lists this ribosomal RNA (578 nucleotides) under Candida albicans. RNAcentral's name for it is "LSU rRNA". It matches the Rfam family "Eukaryotic large subunit ribosomal RNA", at positions 62 to 655 of the family's 3401-position model. Lineage: Eukaryota; Fungi; Ascomycota; Pichiomycetes; Serinales; Debaryomycetaceae. The record is from RNAcentral.